This 27-nucleotide non-coding RNA is filed under the name Homo sapiens (human). The record is from RNAcentral. Lineage: Eukaryota; Metazoa; Chordata; Mammalia; Primates; Hominidae.
GAGUGACUCCCGUUGUCCCAAGGCUUC